Molecule: ribosomal RNA, 406 nt
Filed under: uncultured bacterium
Lineage: Bacteria
Description: partial 16S ribosomal RNA
Rfam family: Bacterial small subunit ribosomal RNA
Source: RNAcentral
GACGAACGCUGGCGGCGUGCCUAAUACAUGCAAGUCGAACGAGUGGCGGACGGGUGAGUAAUGUCUGGGAAACUGCCCGAUGGAGGGGGAUAACUACUGGAAACGGUAGCUAAUACCGCAUACCAUCGGAUGUGCCCAGAUGGGAUUAGCUUGUAGGUGAGGUAACGGCUCACCUAGGCGACGAUCCCUAGCUGGUCUGAGAGGAGGACCAGCCACACUGGAACUGAUACACGGUCCAUACUCCUACGGGAGGCAGCAGUGGGGAAUAUUGCACAAUCGGCGCAAGCCUUAUGCAGCCAUGCCGCGUGUAUGAAGAAGGCCUUCGGGUUGUAAAGUACUUUCAGCGGGGAGGCGUUACCCGCAGAAGAAGCACCGGCUAACUCCGUGCCAGCAGCCGCGGUAAUAC